Coregonus clupeaformis (lake whitefish) is the source of this 1531-nucleotide non-coding RNA. Lineage: Eukaryota; Metazoa; Chordata; Actinopteri; Salmoniformes; Salmonidae. The record is from the annotation of a RefSeq genome assembly.
CUUGCCUGGUACAAUGGGAUCAAUCAAUGGAAUAGUCCCAAAAAUGCAAACACGACCAUGCUCAGUGCAAAUCAAGGGCAACUCCAUUUGCCUUUGAUGUAUGACCAUGGUUUGGUCUGGUCUGGUCUGAUCUAAUCUCUGGUGGACACACUAGGUAACAUAAAUUAGAUUAGAUCCGUUUAUUAGUCACAUUCACAGGGUGGCAGAUGUAAAAGCAGGAUACAGUGAAAUUAUUAUCCUCAGAGACUGUAUGGUACAUAGACUGUAUGGUAACAUAGACUGUAUGGUAACAUCUGUCAAAAGACUCUAGUUGUUUGCUGGAAUGUUUAUUGUUUGCUGGAGGUCCUCAACUGCCAAACACUUGAUGUUGUUUACUUGACUCUAUUCAGAGGGGCCUGGCCUGGCUCAGUGUGAUGAUGUUACCUGAUGGGUGAUGUUUACUUGACUCUAUUGGCCUUGGUCAGAGUGACAGGAUCUCUGUUGACACCAUGUUGAUAGACCUUAUAUAAAAUAAGACCGGGAUUCAAUCCGAUCGCAGGUUGUAGACAAUGCUGCUUCUAAAGGUGGGUCCUGCAGCCUCUCCUCUCCUCACACACCAACCCUGCUCAUCUCUCAGCUGGACAGUAAGGGCCGUUCACACCACACACUGACAACAUGCUGGGGACACUCUGUACUCUCAUCACUGCUCUAACAUGUGUCAGUGGUGUGACUGUGGUGACACAGAAGCCUCCUGUUGUGGCAGUGAGGAAAGGAGAGACGGCCACUAUUGACUGUAACCUGGGGACUGUUGAUAAUAGAGACGUGCUGCUCGUUUGGUAUAAACAGGUUCCAGGAGGAGUCCCUCAGUACGUGUUAAGGUGGUACCACACUGGUUGGAGCUCUGUAGAAUAUGGUUAUGGUUUCUCCUCUCCUAAAUUCACAUCUAAUCAUCAGUCUAAAUCAGAUUAUCGUUUGAUUAUUAAUAAUGUGGAGGAGGAGGACUCAGCAGUGUAUUACUGUCAGACCUGGGACGACUCUGCUAAAGAGUACGUAUCACAGUGAUAUACACCAUGACAAAAACCUCCUCACCAAAUACACUCACUUCUGCUUUCAGAUGUUCUGAAUAUAAAUACUAACUGAAUGUCAAGUCAUCCUGAACCAGUGUGUCUGCAGUAGGAGAGCAUGCCAUGCUUGUGUUUCACACAAAUCCCUUCACACAUUUAGUAGAAUGUUGUCAUGAACAAUUACACCUAGUUGUCACAAACCAUGAAUCAUAAAGUGAUAUUCCAGAUGGUCCUUUCAGUCCUAACAGAAGACUCCAUGUAUCAGAUAACCUCCAUGAUAGUCAGUCCCCUGGUUUACAGUAGAGACAUAUUACAUCAACAGUCAUUUAGUGAUAUACUGUUAGUUCAGAACCCCACUAUCAGGUCCAGAUAAUAUUAUAAUAAUAUUAUUAGUAUGUAUAUUAUGACAUGCUGAUAUAAACUAACUUACGUAACUGAGAAGAAACAUAAUAUUGCUCUUUACAAUGCAACAAAAAAUAUACAAUAUG